This is a long non-coding RNA of Zonotrichia leucophrys gambelii, 2178 nucleotides long. RefSeq lists it as uncharacterized. The transcript has 3 exons. Lineage: Eukaryota; Metazoa; Chordata; Aves; Passeriformes; Passerellidae. The record is from RefSeq and is a predicted model, not a curated record.
GGGCACAGAAGUCAGUUGGCUGCUCUGAGAAGAAGGAAGAGUCAGUGCUUAGAGGAGCUGCCUAUGAGAAACAUCAAGGAGACUUUCAGGUGUAGCAAUGAACCACAGAGGGAAAACAUUAGCAGAUUCCUGGCCUGUUCCACAUGGUAACAUCAGCUGCAUCAGGAUAGUACAGUCUGCUAAUGGACAUAGAGCAAGGUGCAUCACUUCAAGUCCCAACUGUUACAACCAACCAAAACUUCACUCUGUACUCCAAAUAUAUAUAUUGAAAAGCCUCAUGAAAAACUGUCAUCUAUGGGACAGAAGGACUCAUGGUCCCAACUCUAAGCCUGUCAUCGCAGUCCAUCUAAUGCUGUAGAUCACCUGAAGGUUUCACAAAUCUCUUCUAAGGCUCAGAACUAUUUUCUGACUGGAAUGUUAAGCCUUUCUAGAAUAUUAUGUAAUUUUGUUUAUAUGGUAAUUGCAAGGCAAAAAGGGUGUUACCUUAGGCAUAAGGAGAUGAUAUGCUAAACUAAAUUUUCUGUAGGUGCUCCUGGUGCAGUGAUAUUAUAUUUUCCUGUUACUAGCUUUUCAUUACUGUGGACCUUGUAUUAAAUGAUAUGAAAUUGUAUUUUAUAAUUUUUGUUCAAAACAACAACAUUUGUUAAAGCAAUGUGCAAGAUUAUUAAAAUUAACAGGGAAAAAACUGUAAAAUCUUUGGUGAAGACUUAUUUGGCUUUCAUUAGAAAAUCAAGAAAAAUUUAGCUGAUGAUAAAAGUAACGUGAAUUAUCUCUUUAUACGUGUCUCUUUCAAUGCCAAUAGAAAGUGAUUAAACAUUGCUAAUUUUAUUCAAGCAAUGUAAUACAGAGAUUGGAAGAAUUUUCUUCCUCUCUGCAGUGAUAAGGGGCAUCACUUUCAGCUUUCUUAUGUUAACUAAAAUAUUUUCUGCUACAUACAGGAUAUUGCUGCAAGCAGGUUCCAUGUUACAGAGAUUUCAUGGUUUGUCAGACUGAGGGAACCACAGCACAAGCUGGCUCAGGACGUUAAGUUCAGAGCCAGAAGUCUAAACAGGCAAAGGUGUGAUAAUCCAGUCAUUCAUGGUAAGGAGCCAAGAAUCUAAUUACACUGAAAAACAGUUCUGAUGGAAAUCUCCGUUUCACUUUCAAAACAGAUAUGAUAUCUCUGGGGUUUUGAGACCGCCAAAACUCAAAAUUUCCUUUUUUCUAUUGCCAUCUCAGAAAAGAAGACUGGUUACAGUGGCAAUUUUAGAAACCCCAAGCAAAUUAUGUGCCAACUAAAAAGCCUAGUCAGAUGACUAAGUGUCCAUGAAGUUUCAGAAGCCAUGGUUUUCUGGUAUUAUACAGUAUCUGGAAUUGUCCUGGCAGUCAAUAAACUACAGAGCUAUAUAUGUAUUUAAUAUGUAAAACAAAUUCUUUAUGAUCCCCUGGUUUUUUUUACUGUCCUGAGAUCACCUGGGUUUGUGGAUUUUUACCUGGACAUUAGUAAAGCUCUCAACACCAUCUCUCAUGGCAUGCUUCUGGAGAAACUGGCUGCUGAUAGCUUGGUCAGGUGUGCUCAUUGUUGGGUAAAAAACUGGAUGGAGAGCUGGGCUGAGAGAGUGGUGGUGAAUGGAGGUACAUCCAGCUGGUGGCUGGCCACAAGUGGCGCUUCCCAGGGCUCAGUACUGAGAACAGCCCUGAUUAAUGGCUUUGUCUAUGAUCUAGGAGAGGAGAUGGAAUGCACACUCAGUUAUUUUGCAGAUGACACAAAGCUGGGUACGAGUGUUGCUCCACUAUGGGAAAGGAAGGCACUACAGAGGGAUAUGGACAGCCUGGAUCUAUAGGACGACACCAAUUGUAUGAUUUAGUGAUGGACUUGGCAGUGUCAGACCAAUGGUUGGAGUCAAUGAUCUUACAGGUGUUUUCCAGCAUAAGCAAUUCUAUGAUUCUGUGAUUUGCCAUCCAUUGUUUGCCUCAUUCAUCAAGAAGAGGGAGACCCUAAUUUGUCUAAGGAAUGCUUAGUAACAUUUAGGUUAAAAAUCAUGUAGAUUUUCACCAUUUAAACACUAGCUUAAAAGAGUCAUAUAUACUAACAGCCCCACCUUCCAGUGAUACUGCAUGAUGGCAGAAUGACAUUAAGCAUAACAAAGAAAACUUCAACUCAGCAUAAAGGGCAUAAUUCUGGAAAUAUUGGAGUGG